GAGUUUGAUCCUGGCUCAGGACGAACGCUGGCGGCGUGCCUAAUACAUGCAAGUAGAACGCUGACUACUUUAGCUUGCUAGAGUAGAAGGAGUUGCGAACGGGUGAGUAACGCGUAGGUAACCUGCCUACUAGCGGGGGAUAACUAUUGGAAACGAUAGCUAAUACCGCAUAACAGUGUUUAACACAUGUUAGAUGCUUGAAAGAUGCAAUUGCAUCACUAGUAGAUGGACCUGCGUUGUAUUAGCUAGUUGGUGGGGUAACGGACCACCAAGGCGACGAUACAUAGCCGACCUGAGAGGGUGAUCGGCCACACUGGGACUGAGACACGGCCCAGACUCCUACGGGAGGCAGCAGUAGGGAAUCUUCGGCAAUGGGGGCAACCCUGACCGAGCAACGCCGCGUGAGUGAAGAAGGUUUUCGGAUCGUAAAGCUCUGUUGUAAGAGAAGAACGUGUGUGAGAGUGGAAAGUUCACACAGUGACGGUAACUUACCAGAAAGGGACGGCUAACUACGUGCCAGCAGCCGCGGUAAUACGUAGGUCCCGAGCGUUGUCCGGAUUUAUUGGGCGUAAAGCGAGCGCAGGCGGUUUAAUAAGUCUGAAGUUAAAGGCAGUGGCUUAACCAUUGUUCGCUUUGGAAACUGUUAAACUUGAGUGCAGAAGGGGAGAGUGGAAUUCCAUGUGUAGCGGUGAAAUGCGUAGA
This 702-nucleotide ribosomal RNA is filed under the name uncultured bacterium. Its description in RNAcentral is "bacterial SSU rRNA". It matches the Rfam family "Bacterial small subunit ribosomal RNA", at positions 9 to 694 of the family's 1533-position model. The record is from RNAcentral.